Molecule: regulatory RNA element, 92 nt
Organism: Kordiimonas lacus
Lineage: Bacteria; Pseudomonadati; Pseudomonadota; Alphaproteobacteria; Kordiimonadales; Kordiimonadaceae
Rfam family: Alpha operon ribosome binding site
About the family: The bacterial alpha operon ribosome binding site is surrounded by this complex pseudoknotted structure. Translation of the mRNA produces 4 ribosomal protein products, one of which (S4) acts as a translational repressor by binding to the nested pseudoknot region.
Source: Rfam
CAACACGUCUUGUGAUUCGUAAUGUAUAGACGUGAACUUGUUUAUUAGGAGAAACGGUCGUGGCGCGUAUUGCUGGCGUUAACAUUCCGACC